This 441-nucleotide ribosomal RNA is filed under the name uncultured bacterium. RNAcentral describes it as "partial 16S ribosomal RNA". It matches the Rfam family "Bacterial small subunit ribosomal RNA", at positions 338 to 795 of the family's 1533-position model. The record is from RNAcentral.
CCUACGGGAGGCUGCAGUGGGGGAUAUUGCACAAUGGGGGAAACCCUGAUGCAGCGACGCCGCGUGGGUGAAGAAGUAUUUCGGUAUGUAAAGCCCUAUCAGCAGGGAAGAAAGAAGACGGUACCUGACUAAGAAGCCCCGGCUAACUACGUGCCAGCAGCCGCGGUAAUACGUAGGGGGCGAGCGUUAUCCGGAUUCACUGGGUGUAAAGGGAGCGUAGACGGCCGUGCAAGCCAGGAGUGAAAGCCCGGGGCCCAACCCCGGGACUGCUCUUGGAACUGUGCGGCUGGAGUGCGGGAGGGGCAGGCGGAAUGCCUGGUGUAGCGGUGAAAUGCGUAGAUAUCAGGAGGAACACCGGCGGCGAAGGCGGCCUGCUGGACCGCGACUGACGUUGAGGCUCGAAAGCGUGGGGAGCGAACAGGAUUAGAUACCCCAGUAGUC